Molecule: ribosomal RNA, 301 nt
Filed under: uncultured bacterium
Lineage: Bacteria
Description: partial 16S ribosomal RNA
Rfam family: Bacterial small subunit ribosomal RNA
Source: RNAcentral
CAGCAGCCGCUGGAAUACGUAGGGCGCAAGCGUUGUCCGGAAUUAUUGGGCGUAAAGAGCUCGUAGGCGGUCUGUCGCGUCUGGUGUGAAAUCCCGAGGCUCAACCUCGGGCUUGCAUCGGGUACGGGCAGACUAGAGUGCGGUAGGGGAGACUGGAAUUCCUGGUGUAGCGGUGGAAUGCGCAGAUAUCAGGAGGAACACCGAUGGCGAAGGCAGGUCUCUGGGCCGCAACUGACGCUGAGGAGCGAAAGCAUGGGGAGCGAACAGGAUUAGAUACCCCCGUAGUCCCUGUCUCUUAUAC